Molecule: long non-coding RNA, 228 nt
Filed under: Papio anubis (olive baboon)
Lineage: Eukaryota; Metazoa; Chordata; Mammalia; Primates; Cercopithecidae
Description: lncRNA (ENSPANG00000050457.1)
Source: RNAcentral
ACUGUUCAGUGACAUUACAUUCACGAAGCUGACAAUUAUUCAGAAGCACAGUCAACAGCAGUGGAAAAGAUGGCUCAUGUGUGGCUCAGGCUGACUCCACAAUCAGAAUACAAUAUCAGUUUCGAUGAGAUUCAUGCUGCAUGGAUGGUUACACCUGUCACCUGUGGAUGGCUAAUCUUAAUGCCUGUGAUGACAAGUAGACCACAGAGGAGAAUGCAAAGGAUUUGA